This is a long non-coding RNA of Gasterosteus aculeatus aculeatus (three-spined stickleback), 1483 nucleotides long. NCBI's taxonomy places the organism in Eukaryota, Metazoa, Chordata, Actinopteri, Perciformes, Gasterosteidae. The record is from Ensembl.
CAGACGGACGGACAGACGGGCUGAACGAGGGCCCCGGCGCGGAGGCGUCCUGCGGCCCGCAGACGACGCCUUUUGUUUUUGGGGCCGGCAGCUUUUCUCACUCGGGCCGGGCCGUGAAUAACACAACACAAGAGGAGAAGGCGCGAAAGCCGUUUGCACCCGAGGGUCUCACCUCCUCACUUCAACCUUCAAAAGCAGGGGGGGGGGCUUUUCAAUCAGUCUGAUGAAUUCCGCCAGACGGACGGCGGUCUGACCGCCAACCCAACGAUGAGUGACGGAGAGAGUCGGCAGUGACAAGACGCGGUUAAUAAUUCAUGACCGGGGCUUUAAUGAUCCUUAAACUGCAGUGGGAACUCUGCUGGUAACAUGUGAUCCUGCGGAGUUCCGUCUGCGCCGCUCUGUUAUGAAUAAGGUUUUAGAACUGGUAAUGACAGUUAUAGAAUAUAGCCGAUGAAUAGAAUUAGAGAGGAAAACAAGCAGUGACGUUAAUGGAAAAUAAACAAGUUCUGUGUACUAAUUUAGUCUAUAAAUACGUUCUGAUAGUGUGAUAUUUUAACUGCAUUUCCACUUUGUUUAACUUGUUAAAUCUGACUUUGGCUUCUGUUCGCGGUUUUGCUCCGGCGGCGAGCGAUCCGUCCCGCUGCAGACGCGGUUUGUCAACGUGAAAAAAAAGGAAAAGCAGCUGCUGUUAAAACAGUUCGUAUCCUCUCCAUGUUGACUCACAACAACCUGUGCAGCUGCACCAACGUCCUCGCUUGUUGAUGUUUUUGGGGAAUUUAUCGGUCUGGAUCAUCCAAAAAAACAAUGGCAAUGCAGCUUCAUAUUCCAAUUCCCCCAUCUGAUAUGUGAGUGGAAGAGAGCGCAGUCUCCACACGGGAUAUCGAGUGGGAGGAAUGCAUGGAGACCCUCCGUCAGCCAGUCCUAAGCCUACAGAGGAUGUGUUGGGUUGAUGUAAAACACACAGGAAGCAACUUGGGAUUCUGUGUCCCGCUUAACAACACCGCGACGCACGGACACAAUCACAACAUCACUUUCCAACCCAUUGCUCAUGAAAAACGAUUUAUUUUGAAAACUGACUGGAUUCUAUCCUUAUUACGGGCGCUCGUCCCUCUGGACAUAUUUCCCAAGCCAAAUAUUGUCUAACAUGAAAACAAAAAAAAAGGGUCGGGUUCCUCUGCGCUGGAGACCACAGUGUUCUGGUGGCAUGCUGGAUUGCACGGAGCUGGCGACACAUGCGGGCUCCACUGCCGCAGGCCCGCCAGAGGUGUCCACCCGUCCGCUCGACAAUGAUUAUUAAAUGUGUGGGCAUGUUUACUUUCAAACCCACCGGUCUUUCCACUGGCACAGCGACAGGACGCGUAAACACGGCAUGUAGGUCAGUUUGUGUCUGUUCUCCCCUCGCUGAGGGGAACCGACAGCACGAUCAAACACGUUAUUCGCCGAUUGUGACUCGUCUCACCUGGAGAAAACGGGGAAGCUCACC